UCAACCAGUAGGCUAUUUUUGAAGACAUCUACGUAGGCUACCAACAGCAAAACAUCAUUUAGCCUACUAUCAUAAAAUAGGUGACGCUUUUGUGGCGUUUUCCUACGUUUUAUCAUAGGCCCACUACGUUUAUUUCUACCACUUAAAAAUAAUAUGUAAUAUCAUUCAAACAAAGAGGCUUUCAGAAUGAUUAAGACUGACAACGGUGGCUAAUGCAGUAGCAGUAACUGAGACAAAUCUAUGAUCAAAACAGCAGGAUGAGGAGGAUGAGUGUCUUCCCACAGCAUGUCACGGCUCUGGGAAACUUGGGACGAACUGUGAACGAAAUCCGGCAGGAAGCUGAGAAGGGUAAAUCUGAACUGGUAUCUGACCUGGUUAGCCUUUCAGCCGGAGCCAGAAUUCAAGCCAUACGAUCAUUACCU
Molecule: long non-coding RNA, 422 nt
Filed under: Sinocyclocheilus anshuiensis
Lineage: Eukaryota; Metazoa; Chordata; Actinopteri; Cypriniformes; Cyprinidae
Description: lncRNA (ENSSANG00000040760.1)
Source: RNAcentral